Molecule: non-coding RNA, 640 nt
Organism: Odocoileus virginianus texanus
Lineage: Eukaryota; Metazoa; Chordata; Mammalia; Artiodactyla; Cervidae
Source: RefSeq, a predicted model, not a curated record
UACUCUCUGGCAUCGGGAGAGAACUGAUUUCGGACGGAAGAACUGGUCGGGUUUGCUGUCACAGACUCCACAGUCAUUUGUGCUGGGGAGCGAAAGACUUUUCUGAGCUUCACCUCGCUCCCGCUCUCGGCGGGGCCCGAGACACACAGAAACGUGAGCACCCAUCUUCAGAGGCUCUUUACUAAGCUCUCCGUCCUCCCGUGACGGGGCUGUUCACUCAACCUCUGCGAGGGCCCCUCAUCUGAUGCCUUCUUAGCCUCUCUUGCCUGGCGGUCUCCUGCAGCAAGCAAGGAUACCACAGCCCUCUAAAUUCUUCCCAAUAACGCAGGUGGAAAAAGCUGAGCAGCAAAUGAUUAAAUUUGGAAAAACCUGCCAAGGAUCCAGUGGCAUGAAGCCAAGAGCUGGAUUCAACCUAGAGGUAGAAGAUGUGCCAGCUCAGCUGGUGUGGAUAUGUUUGGCAACUAACAUUUCAAAAAAGGUAGCACUCCGCCUGGAGAAAGCUGGCUAGCUCCACAAAGGGAGGUAAGACUUGGACUGAAUCUCAAAAGAGGAAAGGUCAUAUGAGGAUGCAGCAAGGAAACAGUUGUCUGAAAGCAGAGGAGGAAGGUCUCAGCAGAACCCAACCAUGCUGGCACCUUGA